CGCAUCUGUGCAUGCAGCAUAUCAAUAAGCGGAGGAAAAGAAACUAACAAGGAUUCCCCUAGUAACGGCGAGUGAAGCGGGAAGAGCUCAAAUUUGAAAUCUUAAAGGGUUUCCCCUUACGAAUUGUAGUUUAAAGAAGUGUUUUCUGUUGAGGUUUUGGUAAAAGUUCUUUGGAAUAGGACAUCAUAGAGGGUGAGAAUCCCGUAUUUGACCUUUACUUUCAACUUUGUGAUACACUUUCAAAGAGUCGGAUUGUUUGGGAAUGCAGUCCAAAAUGGGUGGUAAAUUUCAUCUAAAGCUAAAUAUUGGCGAGAGACCGAUAGCGAACAAGUACCGUGAGGGAAAGAUGAAAAGAACUUUGAAAAGAGAGUUAAACAGUACGUGAAAUUGUCAAAAGGGAAGCGUUUGACACCAGUGUUGUUUUUCUGAAAAUCAAUUAAAGAACUGUUUAUGCUAAGUUGUUUAGACUUUAUCAGCUAUCUGCUUAGUUUUGAGCUUUUCUUUAAUGCACUUUUCAGUUAACAAGUCAACAUCAAUUUCUUUUGCUGUAAAAAAGCUUGAGGAAGGUGGCUUGAGAUUCGUCUUAAGUGUUUAUAGCCUCUUGCCUAUGCAGUCGGAGAGAUUGAGGUCUGCAGCGUAGAUCCUUCGGGGCUAAAUGCAUUUGUGCUAAGUUAUAGCAUUUUAUAGACAACUUGUUGACUAUGAUUUGUCUUGUAGCUUACUCGCUUAUGUUAUUUUACCUACGCUUAGGAUGUUGAGCGCAUGUCUCCUCU
Molecule: ribosomal RNA, 773 nt
Filed under: uncultured Neocallimastigales
Lineage: Eukaryota; Fungi; Neocallimastigomycota; Neocallimastigomycetes; Neocallimastigales
Description: partial large subunit ribosomal RNA
Rfam family: Eukaryotic large subunit ribosomal RNA
Source: RNAcentral